This 108-nucleotide ribosomal RNA is filed under the name Sorex araneus (European shrew). The record is from RNAcentral. Lineage: Eukaryota; Metazoa; Chordata; Mammalia; Eulipotyphla; Soricidae.
GUCUACGGCCAUACCACCCUGAACGUGCCCGAUCUCGGAAGCUAAGCAGGGUCGGGCCUGGUUAGUACUUGGAUGGGAGGCAUAAGGGCAGACCAGCUGCUUCUGUUA